This 52-nucleotide non-coding RNA is filed under the name unclassified sequences. The record is from RNAcentral.
UUCGUUCAUCCCUCUGGUAGGGGGACGCAAAUGCCGACUGAAGGAACGGGAG